GACGAACGCUGGCGGCGCGCCUAACACAUGCAAGUCGAACGAGAGAGAGGGAGCUUGCUUCCUCAAUCGAGUGGCGAACGGGUGAGUAACGCGUGAGGAACCUGCCUCAAAGAGGGGGACAACAGUUGGAAACGACUGCUAAUACCGCAUAAGCCCACAGGUCGGCAUCGACCAGAGGGAAAAGGAGCAAUCCGCUUUGAGAUGGCCUCGCGUCCGAUUAGCUGGUUGGUGAGGUAACGGCCCACCAAGGCAACGAUCGGUAGCCGGACUGAGAGGUUGAACGGCCACAUUGGGACUGAGACACGGCCCAGACUCCUACGGGAGGCAGCAGUGGGGAAUAUUGCACAAUGGGGGAAACCCUGAUGCAGCGACGCCGCGUGGAGGAAGAAGGUCUUCGGAUUGUAAACUCCUGUUGUUGAGGAAGAUAAUGACGGUACUCAACAAGGAAGUGA
Molecule: ribosomal RNA, 452 nt
Filed under: uncultured bacterium
Lineage: Bacteria
Description: bacterial SSU rRNA
Rfam family: Bacterial small subunit ribosomal RNA
Source: RNAcentral